This 956-nucleotide long non-coding RNA is filed under the name Heterocephalus glaber (naked mole-rat). Its description in RNAcentral is "lncRNA (ENSHGLG00100047519.1)". The record is from RNAcentral. Lineage: Eukaryota; Metazoa; Chordata; Mammalia; Rodentia; Bathyergidae.
GAUGUCUACUCACCAUUUCUGUAGCGUACAGACUAGCUUCACUGCCCUAAAAAAAAAACGCUCUGUGCUUCAUCUAUUGUUCCUCUGUCCCAGCCUAAGCCCUGCAACUAUUGAUCCUUUCAUUGUCUUCACAGUUUUGCUUUUUCAAGAUUUCUUAGAGCAAGGAAGUCUUUUCAGACUGGCUUCUUUCACUUACAGUAUGUGGUACGGCUCCUCCAUGGCUUGAUAGCUCAUUUCUUUUAACUGCUGCAUAGUAUUCUAAUGUAUGAAUGUAUGACUGUGUAUACAUUCAGCUACUGAAGUACCUCUUUGCUACUUCCAGGUUUGGGCAGUUAUGAGUAAAGCUGUUAUAAACAUUUGAGUGUAGAUUUUUUGGUGGACAUAGAUUUUCAACUCAUUUGGACAAACAAAGCAGCAUGAUUGUUGGAAUAUAAGGACAUAUUCAGGAAGGAGACCUGCUUGCCAAUGAGAACCCAGAAAUCAGUCUCCAUCUGUCCCCGAGCUGUUGUGCAAUGAGAGGUUCAGACCCCUUGCUCUGGUUGGCCUGAAAGCUGUGUUCAAGUAUUUUUCUUGAGAACAGGACUUUUCUCACUCUCAUAUGUAGUUUGAGAUCCUGGGUCUGGGGGACACCUGGAAUCAAGCAGCCUUUCCACUAGUUCUUCACUUGGAUGGGAGCACUCUCCCUAGGUGUCUGCAUGGCCAGCUCCCCUACAUCCUUUUUCCUCUAAGCCUUUACUGAAAUUUCACCUUCUCAAUAGGCUACGCCAUUGCAACCCACCCCAUGCCCACCCCUCAGCAUUCUCAACCUCCUUUGCUCUAUUUUUCAUAGUUCUUAUCACUUUCUUUUUGUCUUUGUUUUUUCUGCAGUUUCAAUAUGAUAACGCCUAGUUAUAGCAUUAUUGUCUUUAUUGUCUGCCUCUUAGUAUUUCUAGAAUGUACACAUUCCAAGAGCAGAG